Molecule: long non-coding RNA, 787 nt
Organism: Panicum virgatum (switchgrass)
Lineage: Eukaryota; Viridiplantae; Streptophyta; Magnoliopsida; Poales; Poaceae
Exons: 2
Source: RefSeq, a predicted model, not a curated record
UCUCCCAGUAUCCCACGAGUCCACGAGCAGCAGCCGCCAGCCGCCAGGGGGGUGCCCUGCUCCCGCAUCCGCCAGCGCCACCUGCGACGCCGCCCGACGCCGCGGACGCCGGCGACCCCGCGCGAUGCCGCCGACGCGCCGGCCGCCUGUCCUGCUCCCGCACGGCCUCUCCUCAGCCUCUGCCGUCCCUCCCACCGCCGCCCGCAUAGGUGGCCGCCACAGCCCCUCCCGCCAGGCACCCGCGCAGUGAUGGCGAUAGCAAGGUGCCGAGGCCUACAGGCAGCGGCGGCGGCGCCUCCACUCCAACGACGGAAGGAGCCCCCAAGGCACAGCCUCCUGCAGGUUGCAGCGGGCAGCGGCGGGCCGGAGCUUCCUCCUCCGCACGGGACAGGUGGCGCCUCUUCCCGAGGACCUAGCGGCAGAGCCUGACCCGGAGGUGAAUGUGGCUGGUGGCUCCCUGAGGAACGGUGAUUUGGAUGCCCCCGCCGGCCAAUAUAUACCAUCCUUAUCCGAGGUAGUAGUGUGAUGUUUUCAAAUAUAGAUUGGGGGCACAGAGCCUUCUAUGGCAUAUAAUACCAUGGAUUCCAAUUUCAGCAAUAGUCUAGAGGAUGCAAUUUGCUGUUAUGUUAUUUACUACUAUUGUGUUUGCUUGUUUGGAACUAUGAUUUCAGUUAUUUAUGACUUAUGAGACUAUUAUGUUUGCUUGUUUGGAACUAAGUUUUAAAAUUAUUUAUAAGACUGCAAGUUGCUGUAUGUUUUUAUUUCUAUUAAAAAAUUUGUAUCCGUA